Molecule: ribosomal RNA, 253 nt
Filed under: uncultured bacterium
Lineage: Bacteria
Description: partial 16S ribosomal RNA
Rfam family: Bacterial small subunit ribosomal RNA
Source: RNAcentral
UACGUAGGGCGCAAGCGUUGUCCGGAAUUAUUGGGCGUAAAGAGCUCGUAGGCGGCCUGUUGCGUCCGCUGUGAAAACCCGGGGCUUAACCCCGGGCUUGCAGUGGAUACGGGCAGGCUGGAGGCAGGCAGGGGAGAACGGAAUUCCCGGUGUAGCGGUGAAAUGCGCAGAUAUCGGGAGGAACACCGGUGGCGAAGGCGGCGACCUGGGCCAAUAUUGACGCUGAGGUGCGAAAGCGUGGGGAGCAAACAGG